CAAGUCGAACGGUAGCACAGGGGAGCUUGCUCCUUGGGUGACGAGUGGCGGACGGGUGAGUAAUGUCUGGGGAUCUGCCCGAUGGAGGGGGAUAACUACUGGAAACGGUAGCUAAUACCGCAUAACCUCGAAAGAGCAAAGUGGGGGACCUUCGGGCCUCACACCAUCGGAUGAACCCAGAUGGGAUUAGCUAGUAGGUGGGGUAACGGCUCACCUAGGCGACGAUCCCUAGCUGGUCUGAGAGGAUGACCAGCCACACUGGAACUGAGACACGGUCCAGACUCCUACGGGAGGCAGCAGUGGGGAAUAUUGCACAAUGGGCGCAAGCCUGAUGCAGCCAUGCCGCGUGUAUGAAGAAGGCCUUCGGGUUGUAAAGUACUUUCAGCGGGGAGGAAGGGAUGAAGGUUAAUAACCUUCGUCAUUGACGUUACCCGCAGAAGAAGCACCGGCUAACUCCGUGCCAGCAGCCGCGGUAAUACGGAGGGUGCAAGCGUUAAUCGGAAUUACUGGGCGUAAAGCGCACGCAGGCGGUUUGUUAAGUCAGAUGUGAAAUCCCCGGGCUCAACCUGGGAACUGCAUUUGAAACUGGCAAGCUUGAGUCUCGUAGAGGGGGGUAGAAUUCCAGGUGUAGCGGUGAAAUGCGUAGAGAUCUGGAGGAAUACCGGUGGCGAAGGCGGCCCCCUGGACGAAGACUGACGCUCAGGU
Molecule: ribosomal RNA, 705 nt
Filed under: uncultured bacterium
Lineage: Bacteria
Description: bacterial SSU rRNA
Rfam family: Bacterial small subunit ribosomal RNA
Source: RNAcentral